CAUGCAAGUCGAACGAAGUAGCAAUACUUAGUGGCAGACGGGUGAGUAACAUGUAGGUAUCUUCCCAUUGGUGAGGAAUAACACGAGGAAACUUGUGCUAAUACCUCAUAAGUCUUUACGGAGAAAGCUUUAUGCGCCGAUGGAUGAGCCUGCACUUGAUUAGUUUGUUGGUAGGGUAAUGGCCUACCAAGACAAUGAUCAAUAGCUGAUUUGAGAGGAUGAUCAGCCACAUUGGGACUGAGACACGGCCCAAACUCCUACGGGAGGCAGCAGUAGGGAAUCUUGCACAAUGGGGGAAACCCUGAUGCAGCGAUGCCGCGUAAGUGAAGAAGGCCUUUGGGUUGUAAAGCUCUUUCGUCGGGGAAGAAAAUGACUGUACCCGAAUAAGAAGGUCCGGCUAACUUCGUGCCAGCAGCCGCGGUAAUACGAAGGGACCUAGCGUAGUUCGGAAUUACUGGGCUUAAAGAGUUCGUAGGUGGUUAAAAAAGUUGGUGGUGAAAUCCCAGAGCUUAACUCUGGAACUGCCAUCAAAACUUUUUAGCUAGAGUAUGAUAGAGGAAAGCAGAAUUUCUAGUGUAGAGGUGAAAUUCGUAGAUAUUA
Molecule: ribosomal RNA, 600 nt
Filed under: uncultured Alphaproteobacteria bacterium
Lineage: Bacteria; Pseudomonadati; Pseudomonadota; Alphaproteobacteria
Description: bacterial SSU rRNA
Rfam family: Bacterial small subunit ribosomal RNA
Source: RNAcentral